RNAcentral lists this ribosomal RNA (249 nucleotides) under Vibrio cholerae O1. RNAcentral's name for it is "partial 16S ribosomal RNA". It matches the Rfam family "Bacterial small subunit ribosomal RNA", at positions 860 to 1108 of the family's 1533-position model. Lineage: Bacteria; Pseudomonadati; Pseudomonadota; Gammaproteobacteria; Vibrionales; Vibrionaceae. The record is from RNAcentral.
UUAAGUAGACCGCCUGGGGAGUACGGUCGCAAGAUUAAAACUCAAAUGAAUUGACGGGGGCCCGCACAAGCGGUGGAGCAUGUGGUUUAAUUCGAUGCAACGCGAAGAACCUUACCUACUCUUGACAUCCAGAGAAUCUAGCGGAGACGCUGGAGUGCCUUCGGGAGCUCUGAGACAGGUGCUGCAUGGCUGUCGUCAGCUCGUGUUGUGAAAUGUUGGGUUAAGUCCCGCAACGAGCGCAACCCUUAU